AUUGAACGCUGGCGGCAGGCCUAACACAUGCAAGUCGAGCGGAUGAAGGGAGCUUGCUCCUGGAUUCAGCGGCGGACGGGUGUGUAAUGCCUAGGAAUCUGCCUGGUAGUGGGGGAUAACGUCCGGAAACGGGCGCUAAUACCGCAUACGUCCUGAGGGAGAAAGUGGGGGAUCUUCGGACCUCACGCUAUCAGAUGAGCCUAGGUCGGAUUAGCUAGUUGGUGGGGUAAAGGCCUACCAAGGCGACGAUCCGUAACUGGACUGAUAGGAGGAUCAGUCACACGGGAACUGAGACACGGUCCAGACUCCUACGGGAGGCAGCAGUGGGGAAUGUUGGACAAUAGGCGAAAGCAUGAUCCAGCCAUGCCGCGUGUGUGAAGAAGGUCUUCGGAUUGUAAAGCACUUUAAGUUGGGAGGAAGGGCAGUAAGUUAAUACCUUGCUGUUUUGACGUUACCGACAGAAUAAGCACCGGCUAACUUCGUG
This 484-nucleotide ribosomal RNA is filed under the name uncultured bacterium. Its description in RNAcentral is "partial 16S ribosomal RNA". It matches the Rfam family "Bacterial small subunit ribosomal RNA", at positions 30 to 507 of the family's 1533-position model. The record is from RNAcentral.